This 497-nucleotide ribosomal RNA is filed under the name uncultured bacterium. RNAcentral's name for it is "partial 16S ribosomal RNA". It matches the Rfam family "Bacterial small subunit ribosomal RNA", at positions 28 to 507 of the family's 1533-position model. The record is from RNAcentral.
GAUGAACGCUGGCGGCGUGCCUAAUACAUGCAAGUCGAGCGAACAGAUGAGGAGCUUGCUCCUCUGACGUUAGCGGCGGACGGGUGAGUAACACGUGGAUAACCUACCUAUAAGACUGGGAUAACUUCGGGAAACCGGAGCUAAUACCGGAUAAUAUAUUGAACCGCAUGGUUCAAUAGUGAAAGACGGUUUUGCUGUCACUUAUAGAUGGAUCCGCGCCGCAUUAGCUAGUUGGUAAGGUAACGGCUUACCAAGGCAACGAUGCGUAGCCGACCUGAGAGGGUGAUCGGCCACACUGGAACUGAGACACGGUCCAGACUCCUACGGGAGGCAGUAGUAGGGAAUCUUCCGCAAUGGGCGAAAGCCUGACGGAGCAACGCCGCGUGAGUGAUGAAGGUCUUCGGAUCGUAAAACUCUGUUAUUAGGGAAGAACAAAUGUGUAAGUAACUAUGCACGUCUUGACGGUACCUAAUCAGAAAGCCACGGCUAACUACGUG